AUUCAGAUGACGAGUCCAAGGUAGGGCGAAAUGCACAUCCUGGAU
RNAcentral lists this non-coding RNA (45 nucleotides) under Trichobilharzia regenti. The record is from RNAcentral. Lineage: Eukaryota; Metazoa; Platyhelminthes; Trematoda; Strigeidida; Schistosomatidae.